This 64-nucleotide transfer RNA is filed under the name Glycera capitata. RNAcentral describes it as "tRNA-Thr". It matches the Rfam family "tRNA". From Rfam's summary of the family: Transfer RNA (tRNA) molecules are approximately 80 nucleotides in length. Their secondary structure includes four short double-helical elements and three loops (D, anti-codon, and T loops). Lineage: Eukaryota; Metazoa; Annelida; Polychaeta; Phyllodocida; Glyceridae. The record is from RNAcentral.
GCUUACAAAGCUAAAAAUAGCGCUGGUCUUGUAAACCAGAGGUUGAGACUUGUCUCUGUAAGCU